GCGAAGAUGAAGACCGUUGCCAUGUCUCUCAUAGUUACGAAUAUUAAUUAAACAAAUCAUUCUCCCUUACAGGAGGCGUUUCUGUGGUGUAGUGGUUAUCACGUCAGUCUUACACACUGAAGGAGGUACAAAAUACAGGACUGAAUUAAAGACCCAAAUUGCCUAGACCCAAACCUUGUAUCCAGGUACAGGUAUCCUCCUCGGAUUUAGAUGCUCACAUAGCUUAGACUGAUGCAAAUGGCUGGCAAAGCUGUGCACAUUUGGAGAGGAAGUUGUACUCAGUUAGCAUAAACAUUAAUUCGGACUCGGGCAGUAACUUCAGGGUGGAGCUUCAGCUCUGCUACAUAUUCUCCUGUUUCCCUGAUCUCUGGAAGAAAAACAAUUCUUUUGUCCACAUC
Molecule: long non-coding RNA, 398 nt
Organism: Gossypium arboreum
Lineage: Eukaryota; Viridiplantae; Streptophyta; Magnoliopsida; Malvales; Malvaceae
Exons: 3
Source: RefSeq, a predicted model, not a curated record